RNAcentral lists this ribosomal RNA (504 nucleotides) under uncultured bacterium. Its description in RNAcentral is "partial 16S ribosomal RNA". It matches the Rfam family "Bacterial small subunit ribosomal RNA", at positions 30 to 523 of the family's 1533-position model. The record is from RNAcentral.
AUUGAACGCUGGCGGCAGGCCUAACACAUGCAAGUCGAACGGUAGCACAGAGAGCUUGCUCUCGGGUGACGAGUGGCGGACGGGUGGGUAAUGUCUGGGAAACUGCCCGAUGGAGGGGGAUAACUACUGGAAACGGUAGCUAAUACCGCAUAACGUCUACGGACCAAAGUGGGGGACCUUCGGGCCUCACACCAUCGGAUGUGCCCAGAUGGGAUUAGCUAGUAGGUGGGGUAAUGGCUCACCUAGGCGACGAUCCCUAGCUGGUCUGAGAGGAUGACCAGCCACAGUGGAACUGAGACACGGUCCAGACUCCUACGGGAGGCAGCAGUGGGGAAUAUUGCACAAUGGGCGCAAGCCUGAUGCAGCCAUGCCGCGUGUAUGAAGAAGGCCUUCGGGUUGUAAAGUACUUUCAGCGGGGAGGAAGGGUUGCUGGUUAAUAACCAGCGACAUUGACGUUACCCGCAGAAGAAGCACCGGCUAACUCCGUGCCAGCCGCCGCGGUAA